GGCACUAAGGAGGUUCUUAGUGGGAGAAAAAAAAAGUCAAAUAGUAAAGUAAAAAUAGUAAAACUAAAAAAAGACUGUUUAAAAUUGAAGAAAACUUUAUCAACCUGUUUUUAUGGAAUAUUCGGGGUCCUCUGGAAACUGUGGUGAGCCAGGAUAUUGCCUGCGUUUGCCAAUUGCACAGAGGCAGAAAGCGAUCCCUAUUGAGGAUCUUAACAAGUCGACGAGAAAACUCAACGGAUUUGGAAGAUUGAGUUCAAAUCUUUUGUCUUCUCGUCUCUGCAGUGUACUUUGGAAGCUUGACUGGGUAGAACGAGUGUCUUCGAUAGGACACGUAAUGGACGGAGCGUCCUCCCGUCGGCACCUGGAAAAAGGAAACACAGAUUAAUGUCAUCAGAUUAAACAAAAUUCAUCGAUCUGGAGCAUAUGCAAUGCUGCAGUAUGAGUCAUUCCACAAUUUAUGGAGCACGACGCCCCCUCGUCGAGGCUAAUGAGCAGGCUGCUCUCCACCUCCGGGUCGGUCAGCAGCAUGAUCUGAAACGAGAGGAGAAAGGAGACGGCGGGGAUCAGCGGCCCGACAUGACAGCUCCCGCGCCGGAGGGCUCGGUUUGCGCUCGUGCCGCGCGCUGUUCUUGCUCACGUGCGUACGCGCUCGUGCCGCAGCCUCCCGCGGGGCUGCUUUGCGGUGAAAAUGAUAGCAACUCGCAUGCGGCGAUGAUGAGCUCUGACAGGUGAGAUCCCCCCCC
Syngnathoides biaculeatus (alligator pipefish) is the source of this 743-nucleotide long non-coding RNA. RefSeq lists it as uncharacterized. NCBI's taxonomy places the organism in Eukaryota, Metazoa, Chordata, Actinopteri, Syngnathiformes, Syngnathidae. The transcript is spliced from 5 exons. The record is from RefSeq and is a predicted model, not a curated record.